Molecule: ribosomal RNA, 450 nt
Filed under: uncultured Chromatiales bacterium
Lineage: Bacteria; Pseudomonadati; Pseudomonadota; Gammaproteobacteria; Chromatiales
Description: bacterial SSU rRNA
Rfam family: Bacterial small subunit ribosomal RNA
Source: RNAcentral
UGGGUAGUCCGUACGAGCGCACCUUGUCCCUAGUUACCAGCACUUCGGGUGGGAACUCUAGGGAGACUGCCGGUGAUAAACCGGAGGAAGGUGGGGAUGACGUCAAGUCAUCAUGGCCCUUAUGGGCAGGGCUACACACGUGCUACAAUGGCCGGCACAGAGGGCAGCGAAGCCGCGAGGUGAAGCGAAUCUCAGAAAACCGGUCGUAGUCCGGAUUGCAGUCUGCAACUCGACUGCAUGAAGCCGGAAUCGCUAGUAAUCGCGGAUCAGAACGCCGCGGUGAAUACGUUCCCGGGCCUUGUACACACCGCCCGUCACACCAUGGGAGUGGGCUGUACCAGAAGUAGGUAGUCUAACCUUCGGGAGGACGCUUACCACGGUGUGGUUCAUGACUGGGGUGAAGUCGUAACAAGGUAGCCCUAGGGGAACCUGGGGCUGGAUCACCUCCUU